GUGGCACAUGGAGGUUCCCAGGCCAGGGGUCCAGUCGGAGUUGUAGCCGCCGGCCCACACCACAGCCACAGCAACGCCAGAUCCCUAACACACUGAGCAAGGGCGGGGAUCAAACCUGCAACCUCAUGGUUCCUAGUCAGAUUCGUUGAACACUGAGCCAGGAUGGGAAUUCCUCUAUCCAUCUUUAAAUGCCGCAUUCUAGACAUACUGAUUUUCUUGCAAUUACUCAUUUCAUAUUUUCUUACCUCCAUGAUUUACAUAGAGACACUCACUGUUGGGAAGAACCUUCUCUGACUUCGCUUGUUUUCACCCAAUUUUUCUUUGUAGCAUCAACUAAAAUACAGCCACCUGAUGAAUAUUGCUUUUCAUCUGAGUUAGGACAUAUUUUAAAAUGAAAUGAGGAGUUCCCGUUGUGGCGCAGUGGUGAACGAAUCCGACUAGGAACCAUGAGGUUGCGGGUUCAGUCCCUGCCCUUGCUCAGUGGGUUAAUGAUCUGGCGCCGUGAGCUGUGGUGUAUGUUGCAGAUGCGGCUUGGAUCCCGCGUUGCUGUGGCUCUGGCGUAGGCUGGAGGCUGCAGCUCCGAUUCGACCCCUAGCCUGGGAACCUCCAUAUGCCCUGGGAGCGGCAAAAAGACAAAAUAAAUAAAUAAAUAAAUAAAUAAAAUAAAAUGAAAUGAGACUAUUAAAAAGCAAACGGGGCCUCAUGGUCACCCUAAUGUUGAAAGCUUUCCUGUCUCCUCAUCUCUUUUCAUUUGAUUUUAGCUAGUCCUUUCUGUCCCUGUAUUUAUAAAUGUUAUGUGCAUUUAAUAAUCUACUCAGGGACUUCUUGCUGUCUCAGUGGGUUAAGGCUACUGUGUUGUCAUUGCUGUGACAUGGAUUCAACCCCUGGCCCAGGAACUUCCACAUGUCAUGGGAGUGGCCAAAUUAAAGCUAAAAAUUAAUUAACCCUAAAAUUAACCCUUUGUAAGAGUCUGUUUCCAUAGAAUGCACAAUUAUCCAGAAUAGGAGCCUUAUUUUGUUCAGCAUUGUACCAUUUCUCAAGUUCAAUUCAUUGCAGGUACUCUAUUUGAUGAAUGGAUUUAACUAUGCAUUUCCAAUAAACUAAUUAUAGCAGAAGACAGUUUUAUGGGAACUUGGUUGAGUUUAUAGUAGUAGUAUUGCUGGGUACUGGUGGGACUGAUGUAAAAGGGAUCAAAUUAGUGGUAGUUAAAUUGGGUUAACUUUCAGAAUGCUUAAGGCUCAGAGUUUGGUUUCUGAUGGAGGAUUAUCUGAUUUGAGCUACAAACAUAUACUUAUAUCAAAACUGGAUUAGUGGGAAUUCCCCUUGUGGCACAGUGGAAAUGCAUCCGACUAGGAACCAUGAGGUUGUGGGUUCAAUCCCUGGUCUUGCCCAGUGGGUUAAGGAUCUGGUGUUGCCCUGAGCUGUGGAGUAGGUUCCAGACACGGCUUGGAUCUGGCCUAGGCAGUAACAGCUCUGAUUAUACCCCUAGCCUGGGAAUCUCCAUAUGCCACGGGUGUGGCCCUAAAAGGACAAAAGACAAAACAAACAAACAAACAAACUGGAUUAGUGGGAAGGACUUACUGUGUUGGCAGGGACUGAACUAGUAUCAGGUCUCUUACCGUGCAUUAAAACAUCCCAAAAUAAUAGCAACUUUAAAAAAGUCAUUUCCUUCUCUGUGUUCUGAUUGCUUUUUUAUGUGUGUAUAUAACAGAUAUGUAUGAAGGAGUAUUUCUAUUAUACAUCUUUACUAUUACAUUAUAUAAUGUGUAUGUAUGUUGAUUUCUAUUUGACUGAAUAACUACCUUGCUAUUAAUAAGCCAUAUGCUUUUUUUGAGGACUGGGGACUAUUUCUUUGUUUUUUCUUAUUGUAACUUUAAACAAUUGAGAUAUAACUGACAUGUAACAUUAUACUAGCUUUGGGUGUACGAUAUAAUGAUUUGAUAUUUAUAUAUAUUUUGAAAGGAUCAUCACAUUGUCUAGUUAACACCCAUCCUUCAACAUAUACAGUUACAAUUUUUUUGUGUGAAUUAUACCCUCUAUAAUAUCGUAUCAUUAACUGUAGUCACUAUGCUGUACAUUAUAUCCCUAUGACUUAUUUUUUUUUGUAACUGAAAUUUCUUACCUUGGGCCAUUUUUAACCAUUUCAUCCACCCUUCAUAUCCCACCUUCAGCAAAUACCAAUCUAUUCUCUGUAUCUUUCAGUUCUUUACACACACACACACACACACACACACACACACACACACACAUUUUGCUUUUCAGGGCUGCACUCAUGACAUAUGGAAGUUUCCAGGCGAGGGGUCUAAUCAUAGCUGCAGCUGCCAGCCUACACCACAGCCACAGCAACGUCAGAUCCAAGCCCAAUCUGCAACCUAUACCACAGCUCACAGCAAUGCCAGAUCCUUUAACCCACUGUGCGAGGAUUGAACACGCUUCUGCAUGGAUACUAGUCAGAUUCAUUUCUGCUGUACCACACCAGGAACUCCCUGUUUUUAAUUUUUAGAUUUCAUAUAUAAGUGAGCCCGUAGGGUUUUGUCUUUCUCUGUAUGACUUAUUUCACUUAGAAAAAUACCUUCAAGAUCCAACCAUGUUAUUGCAAAUGGCAAGACUUCCUUUUUAUGGCUGAAUACUAUUACUUUAUACAUAUGUGCAUAUAUAUAUAUAUAUAUAUAUAUAUACGUAAGUUUAUCAUAGUUUGUUUAUUCACUCAUCAGUAGGGGAUUACAUCUUGUACACACCUUUUCUCUCUUCAUCAGAUCCAUUCCUUUGCCUGACAUAUAGUAGUCAUUUAACUAAUUUUGUUAAAUAAAUGAAAAGUUUUCCCUAUUUAACUCACUUCACUUUCUAUGUUUUGAUUCAUCAAGCUGUUGAUUUUACCUUCACAAAAUAUGAUUAUGUGUUCAAUUAAUAGCAAUAGAAUAUAAAUUUAUAUUUAUUUUGCUUAAAUGAUCCAUACUUUCCAUUACUAUACUAUAACUUUCAUGAGGGCAAAAAAUAUGUCUAUUGUGGACAGUUUUAUUCCCUAUGAAUAUAGAAAUUUACAUAUAAUGUAUUAUUAUAAAAUGUUGAAUGAAUGAAUAAGUUGGAAUGAACAGAGUUAUCUUCAAAGAGGAUGGGGUCUUUAGUUGAUUUGUUUGGGUUUUAUAAAUUUUUCUGGUGUCUUCUCUAAUAUUUUUUUAUCCAGGAUGAACAUUCUUUAGGCAGUCCUAGUGGCUAGAAAUAGCAGCAGUCCUAGUGUAUGAGAUAGUGAAAAUAUCCUACUUUCAUUGAUAUCACUCUUAUAAUUUUGGCUGUCUCCUCAACCCUCCACCUAAAUGGUGUUUGUGAAAACUUCAAGUUAAGAGUUACUGAAUUCAUAUAUUUUGCAAGUAUUUAAGAUUAGUUAGUUAUUUCUAUCAGUAUCUCAUCUUAAUUUCCUGGGCUUUGCUUUCUCAUUCAUCACAUCCUUACGCUCCAAUCUCAGGUCAAGUGAUUAGUUCCCUCUCCCCCUCUUGCCCCCACACUGCUCUUUCUGAGAAAGGCUCCAUGUUUUGGAAAUUACAGAACAUUGAUUCUACUGUGAGUGCAACGAUGGGAAGUGGGAUGCAAGCCUCAGGCUAUCUUUAAAGCUUGGAUUUAAGUGUUUACCACUUGUUGCUCUAGCUUACUAUGCUGAUUUAAACAUUUAUUGAAUAAAGGAAUGAGACUAAAGGAGGGGUGAUUGACAAGAUCUUUGGCAGAAUUUAUCAAGUAACAUUUAGGGAUGAAAGCCAUGCUUUACUGAAGAUUUAUAUUUCUAACUUGUUUAGUUGCCAAUAGGUAAUGCUUUUUAUUUUUUAAGAGGCUAGUUUCUCUUCUGAACAUUCAGAAAAUACAAAACUGAUUUAACAAUUUCAUAUUGGUUUUCUUUAAAAUGCUUAUUAGGUCAAAUAGUCAUCUAAGCUUUAGUCUAACCCAAGAUAGAAGCAAUUGUCCUCCUUUCUUCCCAUUUUUCCAUUAUUUCUGAGUCAUUAUGUGCAUAGUUCCACAGCCACAUCACAUUUUGAAGAGAGGAGAAAAUAUCCUAACUCAUUUAAGGCAAAACAUAUUUAGUAUUCAAAUAAGUAGUCCAUGUCAAGCCAAAUUUUAUUCUAUAGUGGACAGAAUAAGCAUCUUCUUUGACCCAAUCAUUCAUUCAAGAAGCAUUCCUUGAGUGUAUAAUAUAGGUUGGGUACACAGGAUUUGGAUUAUGGAGGAGUAUACAAAGUUGACUGACUGCAAGUGCUUGAGGAACUUAGUCUGGUGGGGAAGACAGAGGCAAUAUAACUGAUGUUAAAGGAAGAAGGAAAGGGGAUAAUGCCUUUUCUUUUGUGGAAGAUCACAGGUAGUAAAAUGUUAUCCAAGAUAUGAAGAGAAGUAAAGUGAUUUCAUUCAAAGGAAGUGUAACAAAAAUCUAGUCAAGUAUAUAUCAUUUGUUUGAGACUAACGGGCUGGAAAGUAAAGAAGUGGGGAGCAGAAUGAUUUGAUUUGGAAGUUUUAAAUGCCAUGUUGACAGUGACAAAAUGAUGAAGGAUAGUCUACAAUAAAGGGUGAUGGAAGUAGGUUGAUACUUAUUAGUAUUCUGACCAGGACAUGAUGAGCAUCAGAGGUAAAGCUCAGGUGAUAACAUAGAGAGGAGAGGGAAGUGUAAACUUUGUUUCUUAGGAGAAAAAAAUCCAUUUAACAUGUGUGUUGAAGGCGACUGGGGAUUUCAGGGUGGGUCCACCAUUGUUGGCUUCUCUGUUGCUUGAGCAUCCCCGGUCUCUUGUUGACCUAACAGAGCUCAAUCUUUUUCUGUGUUUGUACAGUACUUUAAACAAAAAUGAAUAUCAUACAUAUAUAGUACUGUUAAAAUAUUAUCUAAGAAUGGUAACAUCUAAGGGAUUGUGUGAUGAUUUUACCUAUACUGGUAGUGAUAGUAAAAUAUUCGCCCUAGAAAAGCUAGAUUUCUUUCAUCUUUCUCAUGUAUGAAGUAAAGGUCACUAAUUAUCAAUGAUGUUUUAUGAUUUUGUUUUUGUCACAAAACUGAAAAAUAAAAGUCUAUAUGUUUUUGAAAUCUUAAUAUCAAUUCUAUUCACAUUGCAACACAGUUUCGCUGCUAUGGUAGUUUGAUUGGGCAAAAUCAACUGUAUAUAAAGCUAGUUAAAGUCUGUACUGUGUACAAAAGAGCAGUUAAUUAGGAGUUAGGAUCCUAAUUCUUGUCCUGCUUCUGCUAGAAAUAAUUAUAAAAAACUUUGGCAAGUUAUCUAUGUAGCCUAAGUUGUAGGUAACAUUUUAAAAUAUAAAGGUACCCUAGAGAAGAAAGAGGUAAAGAGGUAAGAUUUAGGUGAAAUAACUAAAUGAAAAUUUAAAUAAAAAGUUCUUGUGAUAAAGAACCCUGGAUUACAUUUUAGAAAUUGUCAGUGAUUUAUUGCCUAGAGCAACCAAUUUAUCUGAACACUAUGAAGAAAUGGUUGAAAUACAUGAAAUCUAAAAGUAUAAGAUUCCAGAACAUUUUAUUCAUUGAAUAAGUAUUGAAUAAUUGUCAAAUAU
RNAcentral lists this long non-coding RNA (5529 nucleotides) under Sus scrofa (pig). RNAcentral describes it as "lncRNA (ENSSSCG00000059204.1)". The record is from RNAcentral. Lineage: Eukaryota; Metazoa; Chordata; Mammalia; Artiodactyla; Suidae.